GCCAGUUUGGCUCAAUGGAUAGAGCGUUGGCCUGCAGCCUGAAGGGUCACAGGUUCGAUUCCUGUCAAGGGCA
This is a non-coding RNA of Myotis brandtii (Brandt's bat), 73 nucleotides long. Lineage: Eukaryota; Metazoa; Chordata; Mammalia; Chiroptera; Vespertilionidae. The record is from Rfam.